RNAcentral lists this ribosomal RNA (1337 nucleotides) under metagenome. Its description in RNAcentral is "bacterial LSU rRNA". It matches the Rfam family "Bacterial large subunit ribosomal RNA", at positions 1564 to 2910 of the family's 2925-position model. The record is from RNAcentral.
UGAAUACGAGAUGCUACGGCGUCGAAGCAGUGUAUGUCAGACUUCCAAGAAAAGCUCGCAAUGUCAUAAAUAAAGAAUGCCUGUACCAUAACCGACACAGGUGGGUAGGUAGAGCAUACUAAGGGGCGCGAGAUAACUCUCUCUAAGGAACUCGGCAAAAUGACUCCGUAACUUCGGGAGAAGGAGUGCCUUAUUUAUAAGGUUGCAAUAACAAGAUCCAAGCAACUGUUUAUCAAAAACACAGGUCUCCGCUAAGUCGUAAGACGAUGUAUGGGGGCUGACGCCUGCCCAGUGCCAGAAGGUUAAAGAAGUUGGUUAGUGUAUGCGAAGCUGAUGACUGAAGCCCUGGUGAACGGCGGCCGUAACCAUAACGGUCCUAAGGUAGCGAAAUUCCUUGUCGGGUAAGUUCCGACCCGCACGAAAGGCGUAAUGAUUUGGAUACUGUCUCGGAGAGAGGCUCGGUGAAAUAGACUUGUCUGUGAAGAUGCGGACUACCUGCACCAGGACAGAAAGACCCUAUGAAGCUUUACUGUAACUUGAAAUUGGAAUUGGACUUUGCUUGCGCAGUAUAGGUGGGAAGCGUUGAAGAUAUUCUUGCGGGAGUAUUGGAGCUAUCAGUGAGAUACCACUCUUGUAAUGUUAGAUUUCUAACUUUGAACCAUAAUCUGGUCAAAGAACAGUUUCAGGUGGGCAGUUUGACUGGGGCGGUCGCCUCCCAAAUGGUAACGGAGGCGUACAAAGGUUUCCUCUGAACGGAUAGAAAUCGUAUCUAGAGUGUAAAGGCAUAAGGAAGCUUGACUGUGAGACCUACAAGUCGAGCAGGGACGAAAGUCGGUCUUAGUGAUCUGACGGUACUGAGUGGAAAGGCCGUCACUCAACGGAUAAAAGUUACUCUAGGGAUAACAGGCUGAUCUCCCCCAAGAGUUCACAUCGACGGGGAGGUUUGGCACCUCGAUGUCGGCUCAUCGCAUCCUGGGGCGGUAGUACGUCCCAAGGGUUGGGCUGUUCGCCCAUGAAAGCGGUACGCGAGCUGGGUUCAGAACGUCGUGAGACAGUUCGGUCCAUAUCCGGUGUAGGCGUUAGAAUAUUGAGAGGAGCCUUCUUUAGUACAAGAGGACCGAGAAGGACACACCGCUGGUGUACCAGUUAUCGUGCCAACGGUAAACGCUGGGUAGCUAUGUGUGGAGUGGAUAACCGCUGAAAGCAUCUAAGUGGGAAGCCCACCUCAAGAUGAGUAUUCUCACAGGGUUAACCUGGUAGGGUCACGGGAAGACACCCGUUAAUAGGCACUCGGUGGAAGUUCAGCAAUGAAUGAAGCCAAGGUGUACUAACAGACC